Molecule: ribosomal RNA, 253 nt
Filed under: uncultured bacterium
Lineage: Bacteria
Description: partial 16S ribosomal RNA
Rfam family: Bacterial small subunit ribosomal RNA
Source: RNAcentral
UACGGGGGGGGUAAGCGUUGUUCGGAAUUACUGGGCGUAAAGGGCUCGUAGGCGGCCAACUAAGUCAUACGUGAAAUCCCUCAGCUUAACUGGGGAACUGCGUGUGAUACUGGAUGGCUUGGAUUUGGGAGAGGGAUGCGGAAUUCCAGGUGUAGCGGUGAAAUGCGUAGAUAUCGGGAGGAACACCUGAGGCGAAGGCGGGCUACUGGGCCGAUACUGACGCUGAGGCGCGAAAGCCAGGGGAGCGAACGGG